AACUUUUGGCAACGGAUCUCUUGGCUCUCGCAUCGAUGAAGGACGCAGCGAAAUGCGAUAAGUAAUGUGAAUUGCAGAAUUCAGUGAAGCAUCGAAUCUUUGAACGCAUCUUGCGCUUCUUGGUAUUCUGAGGAGCAUGCCUGUUUGAGUGUCAUUCCAUUUUCUCAACCACACUCCUGGUGUGUGUGGCUUGGAUUGUGGGGGUUUUUGCAGGCUGUGACAAUGAAGUCUGCUCCCCUGAAAUGCAUUAGUAGUAUCUGAGCUUACUGCAAAGGUGUGAUAAUUUAUCUAUGCCAUUGGUAUGCUGCAUGCACUGCUUCUAAAAUGACGUUUGAUGAAAUUUGACCUCAAAUCAGGUAGGACUACCCGCUGAACUUAAGCAUAUCAAUAAGCGGAGGCU
This 400-nucleotide unclassified non-coding RNA is filed under the name uncultured Inocybe. RNAcentral describes it as "sequence contains ITS2". The stretch from base 1 to 154 matches the Rfam family "5.8S ribosomal RNA". The record is from RNAcentral. Lineage: Eukaryota; Fungi; Basidiomycota; Agaricomycetes; Agaricales; Cortinariaceae.